UGUGGCAGAUUAGUGCAAUAAAUUUAAGCUUUAUUUAAAAAGUCCAUCUUUCUUUAGA
Molecule: transfer RNA, 58 nt
Filed under: Libnetis sp. UPOL A00586
Lineage: Eukaryota; Metazoa; Arthropoda; Insecta; Coleoptera; Lycidae
Description: tRNA-Leu
Source: RNAcentral